CAAUAGCGUAUAUUAAAGUUGUUGCGGUUAAAAAGCUCGUAGUUGGAUUUCUGCCGAGGACGACCGGUCCGCCCUCUGGGUGUGUAUCUGGUUUGGCCUGGGCAUCUUCUUGGAGAACGUAGCUGCACUUGACUGUGUGGAGCGCUACCCAGGACUUUUACUUUGAGGAAAUUAGAGUGUUUCAAGCAGGCAUACGCCUUGAAUACAUUAGCAUGGAAUAAUAAGAUAGGACCUCGGUUCUAUUUUGUUGGUUUCUAGAGCUGAGGUAAUGAUUAAUAGGGAUAGUUGGGGGCAUUCGUAUUCCGUUGCUAGAGGUGAAAUUCUUGGAUUUACGGAAGACUAACUAUUGCGAAAGCAUUUGCCAAGGAUGUUUUCAUUAA
Molecule: ribosomal RNA, 380 nt
Filed under: uncultured eukaryote
Lineage: Eukaryota
Description: partial 18S ribosomal RNA
Rfam family: Eukaryotic small subunit ribosomal RNA
Source: RNAcentral